UCUUUGUGAGAGUCUAGAUAAAGUCCUAUCUUUGCCUAGAUGCACUCGGCGACUGGUAUAACCUGGCUAGAUAGAAAAGUACUUCUUGACUAUUAAAUAUGGUUCUGUUUAAAUUAUUUUAAUAUUAUUUGUGUUCAUUAUUAAAUUAAAAUAUUUGUAUAUUAGUUUAGUGUUAUCGAAAAGGUACAUUUGUGAUAUUGUGACGUGUUAUAAUUAUUGUUGCAUUUACUUGUGUUUUGAAUGUGUUAUUAAAUUUAUGCCUAUAAUAAUGUGUGCAAAACUAUGAAUUAUGCACUAAAAUGGAUUCUUUCCGUAGUUUGGGUUGUGGCUUAAAAUGACCUGCAUUUGAUUGAAAAAAAGCAGAGUGGAAUAGAACCCAAUCUCAAGCAAUGGGUGCCUUAAGAUUUUGUUCACCACAAUCAUCAAUCAGCCGUCUUCGAUCCACCAGCCAAGUAAAUAAGAGUUUAAAUCAAACGUAUGGUGACGGGGAUUCAAUAUCAAAAUCAAAAUAUACUUUAUCCAAGAAAAUGUUAUUGAGGCCUUUAAGAUGGCAUGCAUCAGCUAGGUGAAGACUGCGUUGAGAGAAGCAAUGAAUCCCAAGGAUGUACCACCACUACUAUAAAAUACUACAAGACAAAUUCGUUGCAUUAUCAAAACUAACAAAGUUUAUACUUAUUCUAGCGACCCGAACCGGCUUUACAUACACGCCUGCAAGCAGCUUACGGUCUCAAAAACACAACCUUACUUCAAAGUAUUUUCAAUAUAUUAUCAAUACGGAAUUACGAGUGAGCUAGAAAAUAAAAACCGGCAUUAGAAAAUCAACUUAGAUAUAACAGAGAAAAAUAAAUCAUCGUCCCACGCACGCGACCUAGCCCAACGGACACACGCAGAGUGAAAAGGACAAAAAAAGUCGGAGCAGGAAAAAAAGCAUCGAGCGCGAAUACACCCGAGGGGAAUGAACUGCGAAAAAUAAGACGAAAACGUUCGCCCGCGCACAUGUGCGUUCGGCCAUUUUUUUCUCGUCGUCCCGCUCUAGCGCCAAAAAUGGGCUCAUAUCGGGCGCGUGCGAGUGAGACGGGAGAAAAGAAAGCGCGAAAGAGUUGGUCGCCGUUGGUUCUGUGCGUUGCCGCGCGCGCUGCUGAGCUGGGAAAUUUCUUCCUGUUUAGACGUAUACUCCUUACCAUUUUGGUUCGUUCUCCAUUAUUCGAUAAUGUUAGUUAUUUGCUAGAUUAACGGAAUGCUUUAGUGCCGUAACAGUAUUCAAAUGAAUGUUUCCUUUAAUUAUUCAACUAUAUAAUGUUUUUUGAUAUACGUAAGAUCAUGUCUUAUAUUGAUAUGUUAAUAUAAAGUAUUUAUUAUCAUAACGUGUCUAUUUCGAAACUAGUUGUAUUAAAAUAAAUUAAAAACUAAUUAAAUAAUGCAGUUGUAAUGUCUUCCUACACAACGUGUUACUAUAGCUGAUUCUGUGUCGAUGCAGGGCAAAUUGACCUAUAAUAGAUUGCAAAUAAGGGCUAUGUUUCAUUCAGGUAUUCUAAUGAAUCUGUCGGACGGUGAUUUAGCGUUCUCGAGGGACCUUUUUAAUUGAUGCCUUUUUCUCGGCAUGUUUAUAGCGUAGUUGUUAAGGUCUAGUUGUAUUUUACAUAAGAUUUUUUUUUCUAAGAUUAAGAU
Molecule: long non-coding RNA, 1668 nt
Organism: Vanessa tameamea
Lineage: Eukaryota; Metazoa; Arthropoda; Insecta; Lepidoptera; Nymphalidae
Exons: 4
Source: RefSeq, a predicted model, not a curated record